AUUGGACGCUGGCGGAAUGCUUUACACAUGCAAGUCGAACGGCAGCACGGACUUCGGUCUGGUGGCGAGUGGCGAACGGGUGAGUAAUGUAUCGGAACGUGCCCAGUCGUGGGGGAUAACAUAGUGAAAAUUACGCUAAUACCGCAUACGAUCUAUGGAUGAAAGCGGGGGACCGCAAGACCCCGCGCGAUUGGAGCGGCCGAUAACAGAUUAGGUAGUUGGUGGGGUAAAGGCCCACCAAGCCAACGAUCUGUAGCUGGUCUGAGAGGACGACCAGCCACACUGGAACUGAGACACGGUCCGGACUCCUACGGGAGGCAGCAGUGGGGAAUUUUGGACAAUGGGCGAAAGCCUGAUCCAGCCAUUCCGCGUGCAGGAUGAAGGCCCUCGGGUUGUAAACUGCUUUUGUACAGAACGAAAAGGUUUCUACUAAUACUAGGAGCUCAUGACGGUACUGUAAGAAUAAGCACCGGCUAACUACGUGCCAGCAGCCGCAGUAA
Molecule: ribosomal RNA, 500 nt
Filed under: uncultured bacterium
Lineage: Bacteria
Description: partial 16S ribosomal RNA
Rfam family: Bacterial small subunit ribosomal RNA
Source: RNAcentral